AUUUACCUAUUAUAAAAAGUAAUCCUAACUUCCAAUUAGAUAGUCCCUUUAUGGGGGUAAGUA
Molecule: transfer RNA, 63 nt
Filed under: Anaticola crassicornis (slender duck louse)
Lineage: Eukaryota; Metazoa; Arthropoda; Insecta; Psocodea; Philopteridae
Description: tRNA-Gly
Source: RNAcentral